Molecule: ribosomal RNA, 253 nt
Filed under: uncultured bacterium
Lineage: Bacteria
Description: partial 16S ribosomal RNA
Rfam family: Bacterial small subunit ribosomal RNA
Source: RNAcentral
UACGGAGGGUGCAAGCGUUGUCCGGAUUUAUUGGGUUUAAAGGGUGCGUAGGCGGAUUGUUAAGUCAGUGGUGAAAGCCUGCGGCUUAACCGCAGAAGUGCCAUUGAUACUGGCAAUCUUGAGUGCAGUGGAGGUAGGCGGAAUUUAUGGUGUAGCGGUGAAAUGCAUAGAUACCAUAAAGAACACCUAUAGCGAAGGCAGCUUACUACACUGCAACUGACGCUGAGGCACGAAAGCGUGGGGAUCAAACAGG